AUACGUAGGGUGCAAGCGUUAAUCGGAAUUACUGGGCGUAAAGGAUGCGUAGGUGGAUAUUUAAGUGGGAUGUGAAAUCCCCGGGCUCAACCCGGGAACUGCAUUCCAAACUGGGUAUCUAGAGUGCAGGAGAGGAAAGCGGAAUUCCUAGUGUAGCGGUGAAAUGCGUAGAUAUUAGGAGGAACACCAGUGGCGAAGGCGGCUUUCUGGACUGUAACUGACACUGAGGCAUGAAAGCGUGGGUAGCAAACAGGAUUAGAUACCCUGGUAGUCCACGCCGUAAACGAUGGGUACUAGGUGUAGGAGGUAUCGACCCCUUCUGUGCCGUCGUUAACACAAUAAGUACCCCGCCUGGGGAGUACGGUCGCAAGACUAAAACUCAAAUGAAUUGACGGGG
This 397-nucleotide ribosomal RNA is filed under the name uncultured bacterium. Its description in RNAcentral is "partial 16S ribosomal RNA". It matches the Rfam family "Bacterial small subunit ribosomal RNA", at positions 523 to 918 of the family's 1533-position model. The record is from RNAcentral.